This 301-nucleotide ribosomal RNA is filed under the name uncultured bacterium. RNAcentral's name for it is "partial 16S ribosomal RNA". It matches the Rfam family "Bacterial small subunit ribosomal RNA", at positions 509 to 807 of the family's 1533-position model. The record is from RNAcentral.
CAGCAGCCGCGGGAAUACGUAGGUCCCGGGCGUUGUCCGGAUUUAUCGGGCGUAAAGGGCUCGCAGGCGGUUUCUUAAGUCUGAUGUGAAAGCCCCCGGCUCAACCGGGGAGGGUCAUUGGAAACUGGGAAACUUGAGUGCAGAAGAGGAGAGUGGAAUUCCACGUGUAGCGGUGAAAUGCGUAGAGAUGUGGAGGAACACCAGUGGCGAAGGCGACUCUCUGGUCUGUAACUGACGCUGAGGAGCGAAAGCGUGGGGAGCAAACAGGAUUAGAUACACCAGUAGUCCCUGUCUCUUAUAC